UGAGGAACAUGACCUUCGGCGGGGGAUAGCCGGCCCAACGGCCGGGUAAUACCGCGUACGACCACUCGGGGACAUCCCCAGGUGGUGAAAGCAGCAAUGCGCCGAUGGAGUGCCUCGCGGCCUAUCAGCUAGUUGGUGAGGUACGGCUCACAAGGCGACGACGGGUAGCUGGUCUGAGAGGAUGGCCAGCCACAUUGGGACUGAGACACGGCCAGACCUCCGUACGGGAGCAG
Molecule: ribosomal RNA, 233 nt
Filed under: uncultured bacterium
Lineage: Bacteria
Description: partial 16S ribosomal RNA
Rfam family: Bacterial small subunit ribosomal RNA
Source: RNAcentral